GGGCCCAUAGCUCAAGCGGUAAGAGCACCGGACUGAUAAUCCGACGAUGCGGGAUCGACACCCGCUGGGUCCACCA
RNAcentral lists this transfer RNA (76 nucleotides) under Rhodospirillales bacterium. RNAcentral's name for it is "tRNA-Ile". It matches the Rfam family "tRNA". Rfam says of the family: Transfer RNA (tRNA) molecules are approximately 80 nucleotides in length. The record is from RNAcentral. Lineage: Bacteria; Pseudomonadati; Pseudomonadota; Alphaproteobacteria; Rhodospirillales.